This 417-nucleotide ribosomal RNA is filed under the name Triticum aestivum (bread wheat). RNAcentral describes it as "partial small subunit ribosomal RNA". The record is from RNAcentral. Lineage: Eukaryota; Viridiplantae; Streptophyta; Magnoliopsida; Poales; Poaceae.
AUGGCGAAGCAUCGCCUCCUUGCCGUGCUCCUCAUCGGGAUAGUUGCAGCUUCCUCUUUCAACCAAGCAGCUACGGCUGGCCGAGGCCUUGCUGUUGUUGAGAAGUUCGCAGAGCUAGAGCCAAAGCCAGAACCCAAACCAGAGCCAAUGCCCAAACCUAUGCCACACCCAGAGUCAGAGCCCUGCAAACCUGAACCGCUGCCCAAACCCGAACCAAAGCCUGGACAGAAACCUGAACCAGAACCCAAGCCCAAGCCGAUGCCAAAACCAAAGCCAAAGCCCAAGCCCUGCUCCAAACCGAAGCCAGAUCCUAAGCCCGAGCCAAUGCCGAAACCCGAACCAAAGCCGGAGCCCAAGCCUAAUGAACCGAAACCGAAGCCGCCUCCUAAGUGCAAACCACCGACAGCUCACAACUGA